AAAGGCUUGUAUGAAUGGUUGGAUGAGAUAUAAACUAUUUUUAUUUUAUAAUAAAUGAAUUUUAAUUUUUAGUAAAAAUGCUAAAAUUAAAUAAUUAGACGAGAAGACCCUGUGAAUCUUUAUUUUUUUAAUAAAUUUAAUAUUUUGUAAAUUAAUUUAAAUAUACUAAUAAAAAUUUUAUUGGGGCGAUAAUUAAAUUUAAAAAACUUUAUUUUUAUUUAAUAAUUAUAAUUAAUUUUUUGAUCCAUUAAUAAUGAUUAUAAAAUUAAGUUACUUUAGGGAUAACAGCGUAAUUAUUUUAAAGAGUUCUUAUCGAUAAAAUAGA
RNAcentral lists this ribosomal RNA (325 nucleotides) under Culicoides dewulfi. Its description in RNAcentral is "partial large subunit ribosomal RNA". Lineage: Eukaryota; Metazoa; Arthropoda; Insecta; Diptera; Ceratopogonidae. The record is from RNAcentral.